GAAGGUAUAGCUCAGUGGGUAGAGCUCAUGCUUUGCAUGCACAAAGUCAUGGGUUCAAUCCCAAGUACCUCUG
This is a transfer RNA of Camelus ferus (Wild Bactrian camel), 73 nucleotides long. It matches the Rfam family "tRNA". From Rfam's summary of the family: Transfer RNA (tRNA) molecules are approximately 80 nucleotides in length. Their secondary structure includes four short double-helical elements and three loops (D, anti-codon, and T loops). Further hydrogen bonds mediate the characteristic L-shaped molecular structure. tRNAs have two regions of fundamental functional importance: the anti-codon, which is responsible for specific mRNA codon recognition, and the 3' end, to which the tRNAs corresponding amino acid is attached (by aminoacyl-tRNA synthetases). tRNAs cope with the degeneracy of the genetic code in two manners: having more than one tRNA (with a specific anti-codon) for a particular amino acid; and 'wobble' base-pairing, i.e. permitting non-standard base-pairing at the 3rd anti-codon position. Lineage: Eukaryota; Metazoa; Chordata; Mammalia; Artiodactyla; Camelidae. The record is from Rfam.